This 445-nucleotide ribosomal RNA is filed under the name uncultured bacterium. RNAcentral's name for it is "partial 16S ribosomal RNA". It matches the Rfam family "Bacterial small subunit ribosomal RNA", at positions 354 to 796 of the family's 1533-position model. The record is from RNAcentral.
GUGAGGAAUAUUGGUCAAUGGGCGAGAGCCUGAACCAGCCAAGUCGCGUGAAGGAAGAAGGAUCUAUGGUUCGUAAACUUCUUUUGCAGGGGAAUAAAGUGCAGGACGUGUCCUGUUUUGUAUGUACCCUGAGAAUAAGGAUCGGCUAACUCCGUGCCAGCAGCCGCGGUAAUACGGAGGAUCCGAGCGUUAUCCGGAUUUAUUGGAUUUAAAGGGUGCGUAGGUGGUUUGAUAAGUCAGCGGUGAAAGUUUGCAGCUUAACUGUAAAAAUGCCGUUGAAACUGUCGGACUUGAGUGUAAAUGAGGUAGGCGGAAUGCGUGGUGUAGCGGUGAAAUGCAUAGAUAUCACGCAGAACUCCGAUUGCGAAGGCAGCUUACUAAGCUACAACUGACACUGAAGCACGAAAGCGUGGGGAUCAAACAGGAUUAGAAACCCGAGUAGUCC